GUCCUGCAGCCGCGCGGGGCCGGGCCGGGCCGGGCCGGGGCUGCGGGGCCGGCCUCCCGCGCUCGCUCGGUCCUCCCAGGCGGGCUGGGGCUGGUCUCUGACUCAUCGGCAGUCACACGCGCGCGCACGCACACUCACACUCACACGCGCGCACGCCCGGCCCUGGGGAGCCGGACCCGGCCGCCCGGAGGGGUCGCCGGGGACGCGUCCGGAGCCCCGGGCCGCGCGCCCCCAAGGACCCCCCCGCCCCCCGCGCUGCGCCGGCCGCGCGCGUCCGGGGCGCCCCCCUCCGGGUCCCCCAACUCCGGCGACCACCCCGCCAGUUCUGCAAGUUUCUCGGCACCGCGGGGCCUGCGCCCCCCGCCCCCCCGCCCGCCUCGCCCCCCAGCCGCCCUCCGCGCGCCGUGCGCUCCCCGGGGGCCCCGCGGCGGUCCGGCCCCAGCUCGCCGCCUCCCGCCGCCUCCCGCCGCCUCCCGGGCUGCUGCUGCUGCUGCCGCCGCGGCGGAGGAGCUGCUCCGGGGCUCCCGGGCUCGGUGGCCGCGGCGCCUCCGCGGAGCCCUCGCCGUGAGCCGGGGCUUCGGCCGGCAACUCCUAGUUUGGGGAGCUCCGUCCCCUGGACACUGGGGAAUAGCUCUUGCACCCCCUGAACCCCGAGCACACUCCCGUCUCCCCAGGUUACCCGGGGCCGCCCAACCCCCGUCUCCUUCCCCCCUCCGGCGUCUACCGCCGGCUUCCCGGGCCCUCCGCCCCGGAGCCACACCGACAUGCACACCUACAGGCCGGCGGCGGGGAGCGUCGAGGGCACGAUGCAGCCGGACUGCAUUGCACAGUCAUCAAAGGCCGUGUUUCUUUGACUUAAAGACUUCCACUGGUCUCCACUUCCACUCUGUCACCCUAGGCCCGUCCACUGUCCUCUCGCCAGGACCUUACAGGAGACUCCUAACAGGUGCAUCUGCAUCCAUUCUUGCCCUACCCCCACCCCUGCCCCAACCAGCCAUCCUUCCCCCUCUGCAAACGGGAUCAUCUUUCCAUUUGCUUCCCCUCGGUGAUCGUGGCUUCCCUUGCUCGUUGGGUCAAAGCCCAAAUCCGUAAAACCGCCCUUCCAAACCCCUCCAGCCUAGCCACCCACAGCUGACCCAAGUCUGGCACAGUUUUCUAGGAUCCCAUGUGGCCUACAAAGCCACAAGGCCCAUCAGCGUCACCAUCCAGUCCUACCAUAUACCUCUCCAAUGUCAUCCUAAGUCACGUUCUCCUGGGACGCCUGGGUGGUCCCUGGAUCGAGGCCCGCAUCCGGUUCCCCGCGGGGAGCCCGCUUCUCCCUCUGCCUGCGUCUCUGCCUCUGUGUGUCUCUCAGGAAUAAAUAAAUUUAAAAAAUCCUUUUUAAAAAAAUCAAAUAAAAUAAGUCCUUUCCUCCUCUGCUCCUUCUCUCGGUCUCUCAGCACACACGCCCAAGUCCCACAGACAUCAGACUCCUCCACCGGAGUGUCGCUUUGCCCUCCCCGCCCCCGCCCCGUUGUUCCAUGUGCCUCGAAUGCCUUUUCCAUCCUUUUGCCUGGCAAAGACCUUCUCAAAGUCUAGCUUGGAAGUCACCUUUUUGGGAGACAGGCCUUUGUCACAGCCCCAAGAGGAAACGCCCCGUGUGUCUCUUCUCCCCGUUUCCACCGCUCCUCCGGUCCAUUUCCCACCGGCCAAUCUCAUUCGCUUUGAUUUUCCCCACCUAGCACAGCACCUGCUCGAUAAAAGUUGACUGAACAAGGCAAAAUAAACUUAAAAAAAAAAAAAAAGCAAUCCCCUACACAGAAAGCAGUAAUAAAGAAAAUGUGCUCUACUAGCACCUUGAGACCUCAAUUAAUGUGCUUUUCUCCUCGCGAAUCCUUGCUUCCAAGCAAACAGAACCUGACAGCCUGAAUUAAAUCAUUUAUCUUUCUAGUUCUCUGCCUUGGCUCUCACGCUGGUGGAAGAGCCCUGAUAUUUCAUAAGAAAAUGCCAAAAACAAAGGCUACGGCCCAGCACCUUGGCUUUAUCAGCUUGCCAAGCCCGUCUGCAGGCCGACAGGAGAUGGGUUCCUCUCCCCGUCCCUCGCGCACCGAGGCUCAGCUCGACGCCCCAUUUCUGUCUUCGGUCAUGUUGGUUUGGGUCCAGGAACCCCGAAGGGCCCACCUCUGCGAGCGCCCCAGCCCCGCCGCGGGGCCCGUGCGGGGAUCACACACCUGCUACAGCCUUCUAGACCGGAGCACGAGUCUUCCGCUGAACGUGAUGUUCUGGUGCCUUCUGAUCGGCUGUGGAGCCUUGUGAUGCAGGGUGACCCACGGGUCCUUGACCUCGGGCCGGUGAGGAAACAAGACUAUCUCCACUCGGCGCCCCCUCCCAUAUAAUUAAAUACCUGGAUGAAGUUUUCUCCGGUUCCGCGUUCGGAGCCAAACAGCGCUUGUUUGCAUUCCAUCAUCAUAUAUAAACACCCGCAGGCCAGGACGGUUUAGCUUGGCCCUGCUGUCGCCAGACCCUUAAAUCGGGGCCGCCGGAAUGGCAUUUACGGCCUCAGAAGGGCCUCCGGUUGUGAAGCCUGCAGUGUUUAUUUUUCUUUAAAUAACAAAAACACCCUGGUUACCGGCCACCGCCUGGAAAGGGGGAACCGGGCCGCUGCAGCCACUCUGUAGGUGGCUGCUCUAGGGCUCCAGUGUCUUUCCUCUCUGCCCCUUUGUCUCAGAGCAGCUGAGUAGUCACCAAGAAGGGGGGGGGGGCCACCACCGGGGGACCUGGUCACCCGGCAGCUCCUGGCCGCUCCUGGGUGAGGAUGAGGCUCCCGGCCCCACAGUUUGUGAUGAGGCUCCAGGCUACACAGGCCCGGCUGGGGGCUGCCUCCCGGGAUGCUGGGCCCUCUGGGGGCAGAUGACUUGGCCUCUCUGGGCCCUGGAUUCCUUACCUGUGUAACCGCGGUGACAACACCUAUCUGGCGGGUGGGCCGGAGGAUUAAAUUGUGUAAUUGGUGACAGGGGCUGAGUGUAAAAGCAUUCAGUAAGCGUCAACUUACUGCGACCGGCCCGGAGGCCUCCUGUGCCCAAGCAGGACGGUGACAGGACCGAAACCGAGCCCACCUCCCCUACUCCCUGGAAAGGGUACCUCGUCCACUCUACUGUUUCACUAUUUUUUGUAAUAAACGACUUUUCUUGGUGUUACUGCGAUGCUAUGCAAAGUAAUGCAUGUUUGCUUAAAGGGCGAAAGAGAGGAAGGGGGGCAAAGGGGGG
This 3245-nucleotide long non-coding RNA is filed under the name Canis lupus familiaris (dog). RNAcentral's name for it is "lncRNA (ENSCAFG00000058731.1)". The record is from RNAcentral. Lineage: Eukaryota; Metazoa; Chordata; Mammalia; Carnivora; Canidae.